AGUGAACGCUGGCGGUAGGCCUAACACAUGCAAGUCGAACGGCAGCACAGUAAGAGCUUGCUCUUACGGGUGGCGAGUGGCGGACGGGUGAGGAAUACAUCGGAAUCUACUUUUUCGUGGGGGAUAACGUAGGGAAACUUACGCUAAUACCGCAUACGACCUACGGGUGAAAGCAGGGGAUCUUCGGACCUUGCGCGAUUGAAUGAGCCGAUGUCGGAUUAGCUAGUUGGCGGGGUAAAGGCCCACCAAGGCGACGAUCCGUAGCUGGUCUGAGAGGAUGAUCCGCCACACUGAGACUGAGACACGGUCCAGAGUCCUAAGAGAAGCAGCAGUGGGGAAUAUUGGACAAUGGACGCAAGUCUGAUCGAGCCAUAGCGCGUGAGUGAAGAAGGCCUCCGGGUUGUAAAGCCCUUUUGUUGGGAAAGAAAAGCAGUAGGUUAAUACCCCGCUGUUCUGACGGUACCCAAAGAAUAGGCACCGGCUAACUUCGUG
RNAcentral lists this ribosomal RNA (492 nucleotides) under uncultured bacterium. Its description in RNAcentral is "partial 16S ribosomal RNA". It matches the Rfam family "Bacterial small subunit ribosomal RNA", at positions 29 to 507 of the family's 1533-position model. The record is from RNAcentral.